CGGCGGACGGGUGAGUAACACGUGGGUAACCUACCUAUAAGACUGGGACAACUUCGGGAAACCGGAGCUAAUACCGGAUAAUAUGUUGAACCGCAUGGUUCAAUAGUGAAAGAUGGUUUUGCUAUCACUUAUAGAUGGACCUGCGCCGUAUUAGCUAGUUGGUGAGGUAACGGCUCACCAAGGCAACGAUACGUAGCCGACCUGAGAGGGUGAUCGGCCACACUGGAACUGAGACACGGUCCAGACUCCUACGGGAGGCAGCAGUC
This 266-nucleotide ribosomal RNA is filed under the name uncultured Staphylococcus sp. RNAcentral's name for it is "partial 16S ribosomal RNA". It matches the Rfam family "Bacterial small subunit ribosomal RNA", at positions 96 to 355 of the family's 1533-position model. Lineage: Bacteria; Bacillati; Bacillota; Bacilli; Caryophanales; Staphylococcaceae. The record is from RNAcentral.